Molecule: non-coding RNA, 73 nt
Organism: Ciona savignyi (Pacific transparent sea squirt)
Lineage: Eukaryota; Metazoa; Chordata; Ascidiacea; Phlebobranchia; Cionidae
Source: Rfam
GCCAGGUUAGCUCAGUCGGUAGAGCGUUGGACUUUUAAUCCAUCGGUCAAGGGUUCAAGUCCCUUAUCGGGCU